RNAcentral lists this transfer RNA (74 nucleotides) under compost metagenome. RNAcentral's name for it is "tRNA-Glu". It matches the Rfam family "tRNA". Rfam says of the family: Transfer RNA (tRNA) molecules are approximately 80 nucleotides in length. Their secondary structure includes four short double-helical elements and three loops (D, anti-codon, and T loops). The record is from RNAcentral.
UGGUCCGUUGGUCAAGCGGUACGACACUGUCCUUUCACGGCAGGAUCGUAGGGUUCGACUCCCACACGGAUCAU